UAGGGAAUCUUCGGCAAUGGGGGGAACCCUGACCGAGCAACGCCGCGUGAGUGAAGAAGGUUUUCGGAUCGUAAAGCUCUGUUGUUAAGGAAGAACGAGUGUGAGAAUGGAAAGUUCAUACUGUGACGGUACUUAACCAGAAAGGGACGGCUAACUACGUGCCAGCAGCCGCGGUAAUACGUAGGUCCCGAGCGUUGUACGGAUUUAUUGGGCGUAAAGCGAGCGCCGGCGGUUAGAGAAGUCUGAAGUUAAAGGCAGUGGCUCAAACAUUGUAGGGUUUGGAAACUGUUUAACUGGAGGGCAGAAGGGGAGAGUGGAAUUACAUGGGUAGAGGUGAAAUGCGUAGAUAUAUGGAGGAACACCGGUGGCGAAGGCGGCUAUCUGGUCUGUAACUGACGCUGAGGCUCGAAAGCGUGGGGAGCGAACAGG
Molecule: ribosomal RNA, 429 nt
Filed under: Bacteroidota bacterium
Lineage: Bacteria; Pseudomonadati; Bacteroidota
Description: Bacteroidetes bacterium partial 16S ribosomal RNA
Rfam family: Bacterial small subunit ribosomal RNA
Source: RNAcentral